This 459-nucleotide ribosomal RNA is filed under the name uncultured bacterium. RNAcentral's name for it is "SSU rRNA". It matches the Rfam family "Bacterial small subunit ribosomal RNA", at positions 26 to 518 of the family's 1533-position model. The record is from RNAcentral.
AGGAUGAACGCUGGCGGUCUGCUUAACACAUGCAAGUCGAACGGGCGUAGCAAUACGUUAGUGGCGGACGGGUGAGUAACGCGUGAGAAUCUACCUUCAGGACGGAGACAACAGUUGGAAACGACUGCUAACCCCCGAUGUACUGAAAAGGCAAAUAUUUAUAGCCUGAAGAAGAGCUCGCGUCCGAUUAGCUAGUUGGAGAGGUAAAAGCUCACCAAGGCGACGAUCGGUAGCUGGUCUGAGAGGACGAUCAGCCACACUGGGACUGAGACACGGCCCAGACUCCUACGGGAGGCAGCAGUGGGAAUUUUCCGCAUGGGCGAAAGCCUGACGGAGCAAGACCGCGUGGAGGAAGAAGGCUCUUGGGUUGUAAACCCCUUUUCUCUGGGAAGAAAGUUGUGAAAGCAGCCUGACGGUACCAGAGGAAUCAGCAUCGGCUAACUCCGUGCCAGCAGCCGC